This 439-nucleotide ribosomal RNA is filed under the name uncultured bacterium. RNAcentral's name for it is "partial 16S ribosomal RNA". It matches the Rfam family "Bacterial small subunit ribosomal RNA", at positions 338 to 795 of the family's 1533-position model. The record is from RNAcentral.
CCUACGGGUGGCUGCAGUGGGGGAUAUUGCACAAUGGGGGGAACCCUGAUGCAGCGACGCCGCGUGGGUGAAGGAGUGCUUCGGCAUGUAAAGCCCUAUCGGCAGGGAAGCAGCAGCCGAUACCUGACUAAGAAGCCCCGGCUAACUACGUGCCAGCAGCCGCGGUAAUACGUAGGGGGCGCGCUGUAUCCGGAUUCACUGGGUGUAACGGGAGCGUAGACGGACACGCUAGCCAGGGGUGAAAGCCCGGGGCGCAACCCCGGGACUGCCCUGGGAACUGCAUGGCUGGAGUGCGGGGGGGGCAGGCGGAAGUCCGGGUGUAGCGGUGAAAGGGGUAGAUAUCAGGAGGAACACCGGCGGCGAAGGCGGCCUGCUGGACCGCGACUGACGUUGAGGCUCGAAAGCGUGGGGAGCGAACAGGAUUAGAUACCCUGUAGUC